CUGAUUGGUUGCUAUGGGCAACUCAGCAACUUUUCCUCUGUACAGCUUUUGAUAAAUCUCCCCCAUAGUGAGAGAGAAGAUGAACCCCUUCCUGGACUCCCUGAUCCUACAUUAAGUGACUGCAGCCCCCCCUAUGAGGAAGAAUCUAGACAUGUCACCAGUGAUGAACCAUUACUCCUUUCGAUCUUUCAUUCCUGUAAAGCAAAUCAUUUACCCAAUACCUCCGUACAUGAGCAUUAGAAGGGAUGGGAUUGAAGUGUUCAAGCUGCCAGUGUCAAGGCGCAGAUUGAUGGAUAUGAUCAAAAAAUUUGAUCCAAAUGAUAUCACGUACAUCGAUGAAAGCAGUUACACACGUUUCUCAAAAGUAGACAACACCUCCAUUCGAGAUCAUUUGAAUAAGUAUUUUGUCAUAAAUAAUGACACUGUGUGGGCAAAGCAUUUGGCAGGUGAAAAUGAACAGCUCAAAGCACAAUUUAAGAUUCAAGUACACGUCAAAUGGAACCCAGCAAAGCCUCCCAUUACUCUACAAGUCCAAAACCAGGACCUGUAUCUCUCAUAUGAUCCUAAUGCAGAAAGACAGCUAAAAUUGUUGCCUUUAGGACAGAGAGCUCUUGACUUCACAAACCCAGACACCAAGCGUUUUUUCUUCUACAUUACUCCAGUCGCCAACAGAAAAUAUUCAUUUGAGCCAGUGAUGGCAUCGGGCUCUCUCCUCAGCACUUCCAAUGACAGCACCAGCCGGGUAACUGUGGAACCCGCAUCUAACACCUACUACACAGACUUUGCAUUUGAUGCAGCUUUUAAUAUGGGUGUUAUGAAUAGGCCCAGCUUUGUAGGACCUGACAUAGAGAAAACAUCCGAAGAUGAUACCACGUUUUACAGUAACCAAGACAAAUUAUUCCAGGACAGAUACCAAUCCAUUCUAGCACAAGAGGAUUAUUUAAUGGAUGUAACUUCCCUGGCACUGAAGAGUCCAUACCAAUGGUUUAGACAACACAAUAACUAUCAAAGUAGUUACCUAGGACGGCAAUACAUGUGCAAGUGAAGUGACGAUACCAGCUGUCCAUAGAAAGGAAACAAGUCUUUAGCCAACAAAUACCAAGGAAUAAUUUACUUCAACCCAUGUGAACAAUGUGCCCAUUUCAAGGGUGGCAAUAGAAAUAAGGAACUUUUUAUACACCCCCCUCCUGCUGUCCAACACUAAUAUUCUUCAAAGUACGACCAUUUUGAAGCUGAACAUUUCAGAAGAUCAAGCUUUUCAAGAAUUUCAAACAUUAAAAAACCUAAAAGAACCUUCUACACAAAAUAACAUUGAAAUUGUAAGCAUCAAGGACAGGAACAACAAGGUUUUAAUGUAUGAUGCAACCUCCAAAAAGAUCUUUGCAAAGCCACUAAAAGGUGAAAAUGUUAAAUACAGGGCCAUCUUUGAAAUAGUUUACUAUAUUCCAAUGAAGGUAUUACAUCCUGAAAUUGCAACCACCUUGAAAAUCCGCAAUACAAAUCUCUACCUCUCCUGUAGACCGGAAGGUGAACUGAUAGCACAGGAGAAUGCUAAAUUUGAUGGAAAAAAUUUUGAAAUGGACGACACUAACAAACAAUUCUUCUUCAUCAGAAAACAAAAAGGGAGCUAUAUUACAUUUGAGUCAGCCAUGUAUCCAGGGCACUAUAUCAGUACCAUGGAUGUGGAUGACAUGCCUGUGACGGUAACAAAUGAUAAUCGAGGAAUCCAGGAAUUUGUUGUGGACGUUGUAUCAACAAUGACAAAUCAAGCAAUGUCUGAUACAACCACUAGCAUAUAUGAUCCCUAUGACAGGUUUUGCUUCCAAGCAAAGGUGUAUCCUUAUUUAGUGCACAGUCCUUAUUCAUAUCUUUAAAUGGGCACUAUCAUUAAGACUAAUUUUUGCUAUUGAACCCCUUAUGGUAAAUA
RNA transcript from Hyla sarda, 1927 nucleotides. RefSeq lists it as uncharacterized. Lineage: Eukaryota; Metazoa; Chordata; Amphibia; Anura; Hylidae. The transcript has 10 exons. The record is from RefSeq and is a predicted model, not a curated record.